Molecule: non-coding RNA, 28 nt
Filed under: Homo sapiens (human)
Lineage: Eukaryota; Metazoa; Chordata; Mammalia; Primates; Hominidae
Source: RNAcentral
UCAAGGGGAUUCCAGCCUUCAGAAGGUU